RNAcentral lists this transfer RNA (67 nucleotides) under Whitmania acranulata. RNAcentral describes it as "tRNA-Arg". Lineage: Eukaryota; Metazoa; Annelida; Clitellata; Hirudinida; Haemopidae. The record is from RNAcentral.
GAAUUUUUAGUAUAAGAAUACCUUUCGUUUCGACCGAACUUGCCUAGGAUUUAAUCCUAAAAAUUUU